RNAcentral lists this ribosomal RNA (137 nucleotides) under uncultured eukaryote. RNAcentral describes it as "partial 18S ribosomal RNA". It matches the Rfam family "Eukaryotic small subunit ribosomal RNA", at positions 1299 to 1458 of the family's 1831-position model. The record is from RNAcentral.
UGGUGGAGUGAUUUGUCUGCUUAAUUGCGAUAACGAACGAGACCUUAACCUGCUAAAUAGCCCGGCCCGCUUUGGCGGGUCGCUGGCUUCUUAGAGGGACUAUCGGCUCAAGCCGAUGGAAGUUUGAGGCAAUAACA